GAUGAAGAACGCAGCGAAAUGCGAUAAGUAGUAUGAAUUGCAGAAUUUAGUGAAUCAUCGAAUUUUUGAACGCAUAUUGCGCCCUAUAGUAUUCUGUGGGGCAUGCCUGUUCGAGCGUCAUUUAAAGAGGGGCUUCAUGCCCUACUUAGGAAUAGGUGCUUGUCUUGAAUUUGAGACUCGCCUUAAAUUUAUUGGCAGCUAAUUAUGUUUUCAUCGUUGCGCAGCAAAAUCGCGAAUGAGUGGAACUAUUUAGUAUCUAUAAGACUAAUUCAAUCUGUGACCUCGGAUCAGGUAGGAAUACCCGCUGAACUUAAGCAUAUCAAUAAGCGGAGGA
This 334-nucleotide unclassified non-coding RNA is filed under the name soil metagenome. RNAcentral's name for it is "partial contains 5.8S ribosomal RNA, internal transcribed spacer 2, and large subunit ribosomal RNA". The stretch from base 1 to 120 matches the Rfam family "5.8S ribosomal RNA", at positions 35 to 154 of the family's 154-position model. The record is from RNAcentral.